AAAGUUGGGCCCCUGUUGGUGCGG
This 24-nucleotide microRNA is filed under the name Gossypium raimondii (Peruvian cotton). RNAcentral's name for it is "gra-miR8670a". The record is from miRBase by way of RNAcentral. Lineage: Eukaryota; Viridiplantae; Streptophyta; Magnoliopsida; Malvales; Malvaceae.